RNAcentral lists this ribosomal RNA (316 nucleotides) under uncultured bacterium. RNAcentral describes it as "bacterial SSU rRNA". It matches the Rfam family "Bacterial small subunit ribosomal RNA", at positions 28 to 334 of the family's 1533-position model. The record is from RNAcentral.
GACGAACGCUGGCGGCGUGCCUAAUACAUGCAAGUAGAACGCUGAAGAGAGGAGCUUGCUCUUCUUGGAUGAGUUGCGAACGGGUGAGUAACGCGUAGGUAACCUGCCUGGUAGCGGGGGAUAACUAUUGGAAACGAUAGCUAAUACCGCAUAAAAUUGAUUAUUGCAUGAUAAUUAAUUGAAAGAUGCAAUUGCAUCACUACCAGAUGGACCUGCGUUGUAUUAGCUAGUUGGUGAGGUAACGGCUCACCAAGGCGACGAUACAUAGCCGACCUGAGAGGGUGAUCGGCCACACUGGGACUGAGACACGGCCCAG